UACGUAGGGUGCGAGCGUUAAUCGGAAUUACUGGGCGUAAAGGGCGCGUAGGCGGUCCCAUAAGUCCUGUGUGAAAUCCCCCGGCUCAACUGGGGAAUUGCACGGGAAACUGCGGGGCUUGAGUUCGGGAGAGGGAAGCGGAAUUCCGGGUGUAGCGGUGAAAUGCGUAGAUAUCCGGAGGAACACCGGUGGCGAAGGCGGCUUCCUGGACCGACACUGACGCUGAGGCGCGAAAGCUAGGGGAGCAAACGGG
RNAcentral lists this ribosomal RNA (253 nucleotides) under uncultured prokaryote. RNAcentral's name for it is "partial 16S ribosomal RNA". It matches the Rfam family "Bacterial small subunit ribosomal RNA", at positions 524 to 776 of the family's 1533-position model. The record is from RNAcentral.